UGCAGCACACGCACAAAAACCAAAAGCGAAGCAACAAUUUUUCAGCCUCAAAGUGAUUUCAAGGCAACUCAUGUGGAUGCGAGAUGUGGGUGGUGGCCAACAAACAAGAUAAAACUUUUGAUUUAUCGUUGACACGAAGCCAAGAACAGAAAGAACAAGCAGGACACGAGAACCAGAGGACCAGAAACAUAACCAAAACCAAGUUGGAACCAAAACCAAGACCAGCACUAGGACCUAGGUCCUGCUGGAAUUUCGGCCAGCGGGAGGCAACUGGAAGCUAACUUGGCACAGAAAUGCUUGCGUCGAUAACGAAAGGCAGGCACAUACAGAAAAAACACUAG
Drosophila melanogaster (fruit fly) is the source of this 341-nucleotide non-coding RNA. NCBI's taxonomy places the organism in Eukaryota, Metazoa, Arthropoda, Insecta, Diptera, Drosophilidae. The record is from Ensembl.